GUCUCUUAGUCACAUACCUUCCUCACUAAUCUUAUCUGGAGAUAUCAGCUCAGCUCCUCGGAUAUUCCAGAUGUGGGUUCACCGAGGGAAAGAAGGUGAUUUUGACAGUGGACUAUUGUUGGGAGAGUUUGAAUAUAAGACUUCAGGACCAUGGAGACAAUCUUUUGCUGUUGAUAGCUUUAUUGUCAAAGAGCCAGUUGACGUAGUAGAGUUUCGAUUUUUGAAAAACUACGGACACCCCAACUACACGUGCGUGUACAGAGUCCAUGUUCAUGGUACAACAUCGUAAAGCUCAACUAGUCAACUCCUCAUCCGACAGGCAACCAUUCCCUGAUUAUUUUCCGUAUAAAAGACUAUUUAUGUUGCAAGUCCUCUUACAUUUAAAUUUCCUUCAGUUAGAAAAUUGUCCUAAACUAAGUUUGAUUUUCUUGCCCUAUUUAUACCUACUGAAUAGCAAUGAAGAAC
Macrosteles quadrilineatus (aster leafhopper) is the source of this 465-nucleotide long non-coding RNA. RefSeq lists it as uncharacterized. The transcript is spliced from 3 exons. The record is from RefSeq and is a predicted model, not a curated record. Lineage: Eukaryota; Metazoa; Arthropoda; Insecta; Hemiptera; Cicadellidae.